RNAcentral lists this ribosomal RNA (302 nucleotides) under uncultured Glaciecola sp. Its description in RNAcentral is "bacterial SSU rRNA". It matches the Rfam family "Bacterial small subunit ribosomal RNA", at positions 30 to 334 of the family's 1533-position model. The record is from RNAcentral. Lineage: Bacteria; Pseudomonadati; Pseudomonadota; Gammaproteobacteria; Alteromonadales; Alteromonadaceae.
AUUGAACGCUGGCGGCAGGCCUAACACAUGCAAGUCGAACGGAAACAUGUCUAGCUUGCUAGAUGAUGUCGAGUGGCGGACGGGUGAGUAAUGCCUAGGGAUCUGCCUUUAGGAGGGGGAUAACCAUUGGAAACGAUGGCUAAUACCGCAUAAUGUCUACGGACCAAAGGGGGCUUCGGCUCCCACCUAGAGAGGAACCUAAGUGAGAUUAGCUAGUUGGUGAGGUAAAGGCUCACCAAGGCGACGAUCUCUAGCUGUUCUGAGAGGAAGAUCAGCCACACUGGGACUGAGACACGGCCCAG